GUGACCUCAAAUCAGGUAGGACUACCCGCUGAACUUAAGCAUAUCAAUAAGCGGAGGAAAAGAAACUAACAAGGAUUCCCCUAGUAACUGCGAGUGAAGCGGGAAAAGCUCAAAUUUAAAAUCUGGCAGUCUCUGGCUGUCCGAGUUGUAAUCUAGAGAAGUGUUAUCCGCGCUGGACCGUGUACAAGUCUCCUGGAAUGGAGCGUCAUAGAGGGUGAGAAUCCCGUCUUUGACACGGACUGCCAGGGCUUUGUGAUGCGCUCUCAAAGAGUCGAGUUGUUUGGGAAUGCAGCUCAAAAUGGGUGGUAAAUUCCAUCUAAAGCUAAAUAUUGGCGAGAGACCGAUAGCGAACAAGUACCGUGAGGGAAAGAUGAAAAGAACUUUGGAAAGAGAGUUAAACAGUACGUGAAAUUGCUGAAAGGGAAACGCUUGAAGUCAGUCGCGUUGGCCAGGGAUCAACCUUGCUUUUGCUUGGUGCACUUUCUGGUUGAUGGGUCAGCAUCAAUUUUGACUAUUGGAAAAAGGUCAAGGGAAUGUGGCAUCUUCGGAUGUGUUAUAGCCCUUAGCUGCAUACAAUGGUUGGGAUUGAGGAACUCAGCACGCCGCAAGGCCGGGUUU
This 618-nucleotide ribosomal RNA is filed under the name Thaxterogaster mutabilis. RNAcentral's name for it is "eukaryotic LSU rRNA". It matches the Rfam family "Eukaryotic large subunit ribosomal RNA", at positions 1 to 618 of the family's 3401-position model. The record is from RNAcentral. Lineage: Eukaryota; Fungi; Basidiomycota; Agaricomycetes; Agaricales; Cortinariaceae.